CCUGGGCAGUGGGGAGUGGUGAGCUCCAUUGUAUACACUUGGAAGCAGCCCAGAAAGGUGAAGACCUGUUCGUGAACUCCAGAGGCCAUUGGAAGCGUGGAAGGCUAUGGCUGGCACUCUUCCUCUUUUUCCAGUUCACUGAGGCAGAUGGGAGGACCGGAGGAGAAAGAAUGAAGGAUGGCAUUUCAGCCCGAGUAAACUCCCCAGGCCCGCUCUGUGCCAGGCGGUGUUGCAAGCCUCGGGUAGGGUGCUUCUAGCACAGUGCUUUGUGCACAGUAAACACUCCAGCGGCUGUUGACCAAUGAAUGAAUGAAGAUUGUAGGCUCAAAUAUUCAAGUUAUCAAAGUGCAAAGAAUGAGGGGUUGUUUGCACUGGACUUCAAAAAUAAAUAGCCUGGACCUGUACUGUCUUACA
RNAcentral lists this non-coding RNA (414 nucleotides) under Pan troglodytes (chimpanzee). Lineage: Eukaryota; Metazoa; Chordata; Mammalia; Primates; Hominidae. The record is from RNAcentral.